This 365-nucleotide long non-coding RNA is filed under the name Olea europaea (common olive). Its description in RNAcentral is "long non-coding RNA (OEUR_LNC014304)". The record is from RNAcentral. Lineage: Eukaryota; Viridiplantae; Streptophyta; Magnoliopsida; Lamiales; Oleaceae.
UUGCAUUAAGAUUAUCCCUAUCUAUAUUAAGGGAUGCAGAGAAAAAAAUAAAUACCAACACAAAUAAAGAAUCUAAAGAAGAAGAAAAUGAUUGCCCGAAAAUUGCUCUAUACUGUUCUUUUUCUUGCACUGGUUUUAGGGUUUGCUAGUUGCAGACCAGUGGUGGAGGUGACAAAAUUUUGGCCACAUUACACCACAGUCUACUACCGAAGAGAAUUUCCGAUGUUACCAAAAGGAGAUAUAAUUCCUCCAUCCGGGCCGUCCAGCAGAAGGCCGCCGCUGCCAGUAUUUCCGAAGUUACCAAAAGGAGAUAUAAUUCCUCCAUCCGGGCCGUCCAGCAGAAGGCCGCCGCUGCCACUAUUUCC